RNAcentral lists this ribosomal RNA (482 nucleotides) under uncultured bacterium. RNAcentral's name for it is "partial 16S ribosomal RNA". It matches the Rfam family "Bacterial small subunit ribosomal RNA", at positions 30 to 507 of the family's 1533-position model. The record is from RNAcentral.
AUUGAACGCUGGCGGCAUGCUUUACACAUGCAAGUCGAACGGUAACAGGCCGCAAGGUGCUGACGAGUGGCGAACGGGUGAGUAAUUCAUCGGAACGUGCCCAGUCCUGGGGGAUAACUACUCGAAAGAGUAGCUAAUACCGCAUACGAUCUAUGGAUGAAAGCGGGGGACCGUAAGGCCUCGCGCGAUUGGAGCGGCCGAUGUCAGAUUAGGUAGUUGGUGGGGUAAAGGCUCACCAAGCCAACGAUCUGUAGCUGGUCUGAGAGGACGACCAGCCACACUGGGACUGAGACACGGCCCAGACUCCUACGGGAGGCAGCAGUGGGGAAUUUUGGACAAUGGGCGCAAGCCUGAUCCAGCAAUGCCGCGUGCAGGAAGAGGGCCUUCGGGUUGUAAACUGCUUUUGUACGGAACGAAACGGCUCUGGUUAAUACCCGGGGCUAAUGACGGUACCGGAAGAAUAAGCACCGGCUAACUACGUG